AAUGCUAAUCUCAUCUCAACCUGAUCUUGUUCAUCCUUCUUAACAAUCACUUCAAGAGUGGAAUUCCAUGGACUCAUGUUGACAUCAUGGCAUAUGUCUGAAAUACUGAGAUUUGGAGCAUCUGAAUGAAUCCAUAUAUUCCCUUCUUUUUGUACAAGAUUUUCUCUCUAUUUUUAUGUCUUCUUUUGCUUUACUAAUGGUUCACUUACAUUGAAUUAUGUGGAUGAUCAGUGUUGAGCAUACAAGUGUAACAUGAGACUAUGAGAGUGAGCAUGAAAAUAUGAGGUGGGUUUUGGCUUUGAAGGUCAUAGUAAAAUUUACUGAUGAUCACUGUUGGGAGGUGGCUGGUGGGUGGCUGUGGCAAUGGGGUGGUGGUGGCAGGAGGUCGAUGAUGGUGAAGUGAGGUGGCUGGUGGUGCAGGUGGUGGUGGUUUAGGGAAAAAGAAGGAAAAUGUUAGAGAUGUAAUUUCAACUUUUUUGGGGGCGAUUUUAAGUACUUUUGGGGCGAUGAAUAGAAGUUCAGUUUGGAAAACUUGAGAUUGUUUAGUUUGUCGACACGAAUCAUGAUUGACUCAACAAACUAGUAUGGUACUAUGGUAGUAGCCAUAGUAGUUGAAUCUAAUUACACAUCAAAUAAUUUGAUUCUGAUAGAUUUUAUUAGUUAUAUUUGUUAUGUAUCAAAGAUGCAGUCAUCUAUUGAAGUAUCAAAAUUCUUUUCUUGUUACGGGAAAGUUUACAAGUUAUUUGGAAUUAGUUGUCUCGCGUUGAAUUAGAGGUAGCAGGGUGAAACAUACAAGACUAGUGGACUACUCCGAAUAUCAUCAAUUAGCUUUUGGACUUGUAUUCGAUUAAAUGCUAUCCUACGGCAUGUGUAUCCAUUGAACACUUAAAUAUAUAAUUUUUGUUGUUUUA
Beta vulgaris subsp. vulgaris (sugar beet) is the source of this 911-nucleotide long non-coding RNA. RefSeq lists it as uncharacterized. The transcript has 2 exons. The record is from RefSeq and is a predicted model, not a curated record. Lineage: Eukaryota; Viridiplantae; Streptophyta; Magnoliopsida; Caryophyllales; Amaranthaceae.